UAUUCUGCCCCAUGGGGAAGGAUGAGAAGCUUCGACUAAGGUUCGACUCGAGCGCCAGCGAGAACGUUACCGCAGGCAACGGCGAAGAGCGAGGCGCUAGCGCCGAGUAAUCCUUCCCCACCAUCCC
This 127-nucleotide small RNA is filed under the name Klebsiella pneumoniae. RNAcentral describes it as "RtT sRNA". It matches the Rfam family "RtT RNA". From Rfam's summary of the family: This family represents a bacterial cis-regulatory element known as RtT RNA. The exact function of RtT is unknown although it is thought that it may be involved in changing the cellular response in relation to amino acid starvation. Lineage: Bacteria; Pseudomonadati; Pseudomonadota; Gammaproteobacteria; Enterobacterales; Enterobacteriaceae. The record is from RNAcentral.